This 556-nucleotide ribosomal RNA is filed under the name Trigonopterus costatus. RNAcentral describes it as "partial large subunit ribosomal RNA". It matches the Rfam family "Bacterial large subunit ribosomal RNA", at positions 1825 to 2643 of the family's 2925-position model. The record is from RNAcentral. Lineage: Eukaryota; Metazoa; Arthropoda; Insecta; Coleoptera; Curculionidae.
GGCUUAUUGAAAAUAAUCUUAGGUCGUACCUGCCCAAUGAGGAAUUUAAUGGCCGCGGUAUAUUGACUGUGCAAAGGUAGCAUAAUCAUUAGUUUUUUAAUUGAAAGCUGGAAUGAAAGGUGUGAUGAGGAAUUAACUGUCUUUUAUUAAAUUAAUUAGAAUUUUAUUUUUAAGUGAAAAAGCUUAAAUUUUUAUGGAAGACGAGAAGACCCUAUAGAGUUUUAUAUUAAAAAUAUAAAUUUUUUUUUGGAUGAGAAAGGAGGUUUAUAAUUUUUAUAUAUUUUAUUGGGGUGAUAGAGAAACUAAAAGAACUUUUUUUCUUUUUAGAACAUUGAUUUAUGAUAAAUUGAUCCUAGAAUUUAGAUUAUAAGAGUAAAUUACCUUAGGGAUAACAGCGUAAUUUUUUUUAGAGUUCUUAUCGAAAGAAAAGAUUGCGACCUCGAUGUUGGAUUAAAAUGAAUCAAGGGUGUAGAAGCUUUAUGAUUAGGUCUGUUCGACCUUUAAAAUUUUACAUGAUCUGAGUUUAAACCGGUGUGAGCCAGGUCGGUUUCUAUCU